RNAcentral lists this ribosomal RNA (597 nucleotides) under Xiphinema sp. NK-2011a. Its description in RNAcentral is "SSU rRNA". It matches the Rfam family "Eukaryotic small subunit ribosomal RNA", at positions 1024 to 1643 of the family's 1831-position model. The record is from RNAcentral. Lineage: Eukaryota; Metazoa; Nematoda; Enoplea; Dorylaimida; Longidoridae.
UUCUAACCGUAAACGAUGACAACCAGCGAUUAGUCGGUGUUAAUAUACGACCCGACUAGCAGCUUCCGGGAAACCAAAGUUUUUCGUUUCCGGGGGAAGUAUGGUUGCAAAGCUGAAACUUAAAGGAAUUGACGGAAGGGCACCACCAGGAGUGGAGCCUGCGGCUUAAUUUGACUCAACACGGGAAAACUCACCCGGCCCGGACACCGUAAGGAUUGACAGACUGAGAGCUCUUUCUUAAUUCGGUGGGUGGUGGUGCAUGGCCGUUCUUAGUUGGUGGAGCGAUUUGUCUGGUUAAUUCCGAUAACGAACGAGACUCUGGCCUAUUAAAUAGUCGGUAUAUCCGGAAAAGUUUACCGUACUUCUUAGAGGGACAAACGGCGUCUAGCCGCGUGAAAUAGAGCAAUAACAGGUCUGUGAUGCCCUUAGAUGUCCGGGGCUGCACGCGCGCUACACUGAAAGAAUCAGUAUGCGCUUUAACCUAGUCCGGAAGGAUUGGGUAACCCGAGCAAAUUCUUUCGUGCUUGGGAUAGGGAAUUGCAAUUAUUUCCCUUAAACGAGGAAUUCCCAGUAAAUGCGGGUCAUAAGCUCGCGUUG